ACUUAUAUAGUAUAACUAUUAUAUUUGACUUCCAAUCAAAAGAUCUAAAUAUUUAGUAUAAGUA
Molecule: transfer RNA, 64 nt
Filed under: Sophrops subrugatus
Lineage: Eukaryota; Metazoa; Arthropoda; Insecta; Coleoptera; Scarabaeidae
Also listed under: 1 other name
Description: tRNA-Gly
Rfam family: tRNA
About the family: Transfer RNA (tRNA) molecules are approximately 80 nucleotides in length. Their secondary structure includes four short double-helical elements and three loops (D, anti-codon, and T loops).
Source: RNAcentral